GGUUAAGUGACUAAGCGUACACGGUGGAUGCCUUGGCAGUCAGAGGCGAUGAAGGACGUAGUAACUUGCGAUAAGCGUAGAUGAGGCAGUAACAGCCACUUGAGUCUACGAUUUCCGAAUGGGGAAACCCACUGGCAUAAGCCAGUAUCAUUGAGUGAAUACAUAGCUCAAUGAAGCGAACCGGGAGAACUGAAACAUCUAAGUACCCCGAGGAAAAGAAAUCAACCGAGAUUCCGAAAGUAGCGGCGAGCGAAAUUGGAUUAGCCCUUAAGCUUUACAUGUGUUAGACGAACGGUCUGGAAAGUCCGACGAUACAGGGUGAUAGUCCCGUAGUUGUAGAUGCAUGUUCAGUGAAAUCGAGUAGGGCGGGACACGUGUUAUCCUGUCUGAAUAUGGGGGGACCAUCCUCCAAGGCUAAAUACUCCUGACUGACCGAUAGUGAACCAGUACCGUGAGGGAAAGGCGAAAAGAACCCCUGUGAGGGGAGUGAAAUAGAACCUGAAACCGUGUACGUACAAGCAGUAGGAGCACCUUCGUGGUGUGACUGCGUACCUUUUGUAUAAUGGGU
This 568-nucleotide ribosomal RNA is filed under the name Vibrio vulnificus. RNAcentral describes it as "partial 23S ribosomal RNA". It matches the Rfam family "Bacterial large subunit ribosomal RNA", at positions 1 to 620 of the family's 2925-position model. Lineage: Bacteria; Pseudomonadati; Pseudomonadota; Gammaproteobacteria; Vibrionales; Vibrionaceae. The record is from RNAcentral.